GUUGAAAUCAGCUGGGGUGCCUAGUCUUUUUUGCGCGUUUUCUGGUUGUGGAGGGUGAUGUAGUGCGGGCGGUAGGUAGGGUAAAUAAAGGACAAGGACUGUCAGGAUGUUCUUCUGCUUUAGUCCCUUCCCCAAUCUCCCACUUUCAAACUGGUCUUCUGAGAUUCCCGCUUCCGGAUCUGCUUUUCUCCGAACUUCUCUGGACUGAGACCUGGCUGUCCCGUAAGGAUGCUGCAUCCUCUCACAUGGUCUUUUUGUGAAUCAUACAAAUUAGAUUUAAAAAAAUUUUUUUUGGAGUUCCCUGUUGUGGCUUAGCAGGUUAAGAACCCAACUAGUAUCCAUGAGGAUGCCUGUGCAAUCCCUGGCCUCUCUCAGUGGGUUGAGGAUCCCACGUUGUCAUGAGCUGUGGUGUAGGCCAGCAGCUGCAGCUCUGAUUCCACCCCUAGCCUGGGAACUUCCUCCAUACGCUGCAAGUGCUGCACUAAAAAGAAAAAAAGUGGUUUUUUUUUUAAAUUUUUUUGGUUGCAUUCGCAGAGUUUGGAAGUGCCCUGGGCAAGAUAUCAAACCUGUGCCAUGGCAGUGACUUGAGCCAUAGCAGUGACAACACAGGAUCCUUAACCUGCUGAUCAACUGGGGAACGCCUAGACUUAAUUUUUUCAUUUUAUUAUUUUUUAAUUGAAGUACAGUUAAUUUACAAUGUUGUAUUAGUUUCAGAUGUACAGCACAGUAAUUCAGUUACGUGUAUAUGUAUGUUUUCUUUUUCAGAUUCUUUUCCUUUAUAGGUUUUUAUGAAAGAGUUUGUAUGGUUCCCUGUGCUAUACAGUAGGCCGUUGUUGGUUAUCUAUUUUAUUUAUAGUAAUAUGUUAUCUGAUGCUUACUUCUUAAGACACUCCUCUGUAGAGAGGAGACCAUCUGCUAAUUUGUUCACCCAGCUCCUUGUCUUACUUUCCUCUAACCAUCUUCCAUCUUGAUCAUUUCAGUCAAUGUGGACAACCCAUUUCACAUGCGGGCCUCAUCCCUUACAUUAGCCCCCCAAUCCCAGUCAGAAACCUGGACCUUGUCACCAGAAACCCUAUUGUGUCAUGAAUCAGUACUUCCGACAUCCCUCUGUCCAACCACAGCCUGAUAUUCUUUACCUGGACGGCUCAAGAACUUCAUUUACAUUGUUUUCACUUUAUCAGAACCUCCAGUUCUGAUUGAAAGCUUCUACUUAAUCCUCACUUUUCACUUCACUCCUUAUCCAUCUUAGAUUCAGCAGUAUAUCAUUACAGUCUCCCUCUUACUUACUCUUAAGCCCACCCCAACACCCCUCUUUUCCCCAACUAAGUCCUCCACCCUGGAUGAACUAACAUACUUCUCCAUAUACCUUGUCAUAGUAAAUUGUCCUGAUGAACAAACAGGCAUCACUAAAUGAUUUCAACCUUAAAUGAGCUCCGAACAGUGCCUGGAAAUUUCAUUUUAUUUUUCUAGUUAACUUGUUCUCCACUAUCUGCAAAUCUCUAAACCCUAUGCUUCCCAUACCUCUUCCCCUGAUUAUCUUACUGUGUAAGUAAUAGGAAAUGUAGAAUACCCUAAAAUCUAGAAAUCUACACAUGUUUCCAUCCUGUCCUUUCCUCCUAUAAUUUACUCAAUAAAAAAUAGUUGUUGAACUCCCACUAUAUUCCAUAUGAGGCACUCAUCUAGGUGCUUGUUAAGCAGUGAACAAAAAAAAAAAUUCCUUGUCUUCAAGGACCUAAUAUAGGGAGACAGAAAAACAUACACAUGUAUGUUUAUGUGUAUAUAUGUGUGUAUGAAGAAGAACAAAGCAGGGUAAGAGUUAGACAGUGGUGUCAGGUGACUGCUGUUUUAGAUGUUAGUCAGAAAAAAACUCGUUGAUAAGAGACACUUAAGCAGAAACUGGAAUUGACUUGAUGGGGGUGAGCCAUGUGGAUAUCUAGAGAAAAUAUGUUCUGGGCAGAGAUUACAGCAAAUUCAAAUGGUCUGAGGCAGGACCAUGCUUGACAUACUAUAGAAAUAGAAAGAUACAAAGUGAGUGAGGGGAUAGUGGUUAGAGUUGAGAUCAGAGAGUUAUCCAGGGGCCCAUCUACCUGGGACUUAAUAGGCCAUGGUGACAACUGGAUUAUUACCACCUAAACCACUGAAGAAGUUUAAAUACACAGUGAUUUGAUCAGAUUUAAGACUCUGAAAGUUUCAUUCUAGGAGUUUGUGGCUCAGUGGUAACAAACCUAAGAUUCCUGAGGACGCAGGUUCGAUCCCUGGCCUUUCUCGGUGGGUUAAGGAUCCGGCAUUGCUGUGAACUGUGGUGUAGGUCGCAGAUGUGGCUUAGAUCCUGAGUUUUUCUGGCUAUGGUAUAGGCCAGUAGCUGUAGCUCUGAUUCGACCCCUAGCCUGGGAACUUCCAUAUGCCACGGGUGUGGCCAUUAAAAAAAAAAAAAAAAAAAUUCCAUUCUAGCUGUUGUGCAGAGAAUAAGCAGUGAACGUAGAGGGGUAAGAGUGGAAGCAUUAGCCCUGGCAUAAGAUGACGGUGGCCUGAACUAGAUGACACAGUGAAUAUGCUAAGAAGUGGUCAGAUUUCAGGUGUAUUUUGAAAGUAAAGCCACAGGACUUACUAAUGGAUUAUGUAUACGUUAGAGAUUCAAGGAUGAUGCCAAGGUUUUUGCCCCAGAUAACUGGUAGAACAGUGCUAACAUUACCGACCUGGGGAAUUCUAUCAGAAACUGACCCCAAAUGGAAUACCACUCAGUAAUAAAAAGGAAUGAAGUAUUAGUAAACCUCCAAACUUGGCAUUAUAACAACAUAACAAUAAAGGCAUUAUGCUGAGUGGAAGGAGCUAGUCUCAAAAUGAUAGUCUUGAAAAUAUUAAAACUAUAGUGAUAGAGAAUAAGUCAGUGGUAGCCAGGAGUUAGGGAUGGAGUAGUGACUGUAAAGGUAUAGUUAAAAAGGAGGAUUUGGGAGUGAGGGAACUCUUCUGUAUCCUGAUUGUGGCUAUGUAUAGUUACAUGAAUCUAUACAUGUGUUAAAAUCCAUAGAGAUGUACAAUAAAAAUACAGUCAGUUUUAUUAUAUGAUAAUUUUUUAAAACCAAACCUUCCAUGCAUGCUCAAAUUUCCCUUCCCAAUUCUCAGGGUUCUUCCUUUAACUCUUGCAACAUUGGACCCUUCCAUCAGUAUUCAAACAAACUCUUGUUUCAACCAUCUUUUGCUUUAAAAAACAAAAACAAAAAAAACCCCUUCCCUUGACCCCAUAUUCUGUGACUAAAGCCUUAUCUAAAGAUUCCUCUUCCUGCCAAAUCUUCUAGAAUUACUGUCCUCAUUGCAGCCCAAGUGAUCUUAUCUCUCUCCUUAAAACGCUCUAUGGCUUCCUGUUACUCUUGGGAUCAAGACCUAAAUUCCUUCAUGUGGCCUGCAGAGACCUAGCCUCUGCCUGCCUCUUUGGUCUUAUCUCUGCCUCAGGUGUAGUUGAGGACCCAAGAGGGCAGCCUUACUAGAUAACCUAAGUACUUGAAACAGAACACCACCCUCCCUUCAUAGUAAUGUGUCUUAAACCUGAAGAUAGUCACUCAUCCUGGUCUGGUUACAAGGACUAUCAUUUAAUCUCUCUUCUUUGGCUUCCUGAGAGUUUGAACAGAAAAGCCACAGUAUUUUUUAGCUUCUCCCAUUGAGAGGUGGAGUCUGUUCUCUGCAUUUUCUGAAUCUAGGCUUGGUCAUGUGACUUGCUUUGUUCUAUGGGAUAUUAGCAAAUUUGAUAUUAGAAAUCUUACAGAGUGCUUACAGUUAUGGUUUGCUCUUUCUUGCUACUGAGAACUCUUCCACCACCUUGUGAAAAACUCCUGACUAACCUGAUGAAUGAUUAAAGACAUGUGGUCAUCUCCCCAACUGACAUCUAAGCAACUGCCAGACAUGUGAAUGCAGACCCUUAGACCAACUAGCCUGCCAACCAUCAGACGUGUGAGCCAAGCCAUUGUAGACCAUCUAGGCCUAAUAAUGCUGGCCCAGAACAGAGGAAGCCCCUCAACAAAGCCACAAAUCAGUGAAAAACAAUGCUUAUUGUUUUAAAGUUAAACCAGGAAGUUUUGAGGUGUUUUGUUUUGCAAUAAAAGAUAACUGAUAUCCAAG
Molecule: long non-coding RNA, 4113 nt
Filed under: Sus scrofa (pig)
Lineage: Eukaryota; Metazoa; Chordata; Mammalia; Artiodactyla; Suidae
Description: lncRNA (ENSSSCG00060074115.1)
Source: RNAcentral